Molecule: ribosomal RNA, 465 nt
Filed under: uncultured bacterium
Lineage: Bacteria
Description: partial 16S ribosomal RNA
Rfam family: Bacterial small subunit ribosomal RNA
Source: RNAcentral
GACGAACGCUGGCGGCGUGCUUAACACAUGCAAGUCGUACGGUAAGGCCCUUUCGGGGGUACACGAGUGGCGAACGGGUGAGUAACACGUGAGUAACCUGCCCACAACUUUGGGAUAACGCUAGGAAACUGGUGCUAAUACUGGAUAUGUGCUCCUGCUGCAUGGUGGGGGUUGGAAAGCUCCGGCGGUUGUGGAUGGACUCGCGGCCUAUCAGCUUGUUGGUGGGGUAGUGGCCUACCAAGGCGGCGACGGGUAGCCGGCCUGAGAGGGUGACCGGCCACAUUGGGACUGAGAUACGGCCCAGACUCCUACGGGAGGCAGCAGUGGGGAAUAUUGCACAAUGGGCGCAAGCCUGAUGCAGCAACGCCGCGUGCGGGAUGACGGCCUUCGGGUUGUAAACCGCUUUCAGCAGGGACGAGGCUUUUUGUGACGGUACCUGCAGAAGAAGCACCGGCUAACUACGUG